RNAcentral lists this non-coding RNA (253 nucleotides) under Halalkalibacter hemicellulosilyticus. RNAcentral describes it as "Bacillus hemicellulosilyticus T-box sequence". It matches the Rfam family "T-box leader". Rfam says of the family: Uncharged tRNA acts as the effector for transcription antitermination of genes in the T-box leader family. T-boxes are found upstream of many aminoacyl-tRNA synthetase genes and some amino acid biosynthetic genes usually in Gram-positive bacteria. The record is from RNAcentral. Lineage: Bacteria; Bacillati; Bacillota; Bacilli; Caryophanales; Bacillaceae.
AUGAAAGCGUAGAAGAGGAAAGUAGUUAGUAACAGACUCCUACAGAGAACCGCAAAUGCUGAGAAGCGGUGUUGUCGUUGCUAAUGAAACUCACCUCGGAGUAUUAGCCUGAAUCAUUUUUUAGUAGGGUUAAUCGGGUGUAACACAGCACUCGUUAUCAAAACGUGAUAAGUUAUAGCUUAUCCAUAAGAUCAAACGAAUGGUUUGAUGAAUAAGGGUGGUACCGUGGAAAGAAAAUCUUUUCGCCCCUUUU